Molecule: ribosomal RNA, 497 nt
Filed under: uncultured bacterium
Lineage: Bacteria
Description: partial 16S ribosomal RNA
Rfam family: Bacterial small subunit ribosomal RNA
Source: RNAcentral
GACGAACGCUGGCGGCGUGCCUAAUACAUGCAAGUAGAACGCUGAAGAGUGGUGCUUAUUCUUCCUGGAUGAGUUGCGAACGGGUGAGUAACGCGUGGGUAACCUGCCUUGUAGCGGGGGAUAACUAUUGGAAACGAUAGCUAAUACCGCAUAACAAUGGUUGACACAUGUCAUUUAUUUGAAAGGGGCAAUUGCUUCACUACAAGAUGGUCCUGCGUUGUAUUAGCUAGUAGGUGAGGUAAUGGCUCACCUAGGCGACGAUACAUAGCCGACCUGAGAGGGUGGUCGGCCACACUGGGACUGAGACACGGCCCAGACUCCUACGGGAGGCAGCAGUAGGGAAUCUUCGGCAAUGGGGGCAAGCCUGACCGAGCAACGCCGCGUGAGUGAAGAAGGUUUUCGGAUCGUAAAGCUCUGUUGUAAGUCGAGAACGGGUGUGAGAGUGGAAAGUUCACACUGUGACGGUAGCUAACCAGAAAGGGACGGCUAACUACGUG